ACGAACGCUGGCGGCGUGCCUAAUACAUGCAAGUUGAGCGCUGAAGGUUGGUACUUGUACCACCUGGAUGAGCAGCGAACGGGUGAGUAACGCGUGGGGAAUCUGCCUUUGAGCGGGGGACAACAUUUGGAAACGAAUGCUAAUACCGCAUAAAAACUUUAAACACAAGUUUUAAGUUUGAAAGAUGCAAUUGCAUCACUCAAAGAUGAUCCCGCGUUGUAUUAGCUAGUUGGUGAGGUAAAGGCUCACCAAGGCGAUGAUACAUAGCCGACCUGAGAGGGUGAUCGGCCACAUUGGGACUGAGACACGGCCCAAACUCCUACGGGAGGCAGCAGUAGGGAAUCUUCGGCAAUAGACGAAAGUCUGACCGAGCAACGCCGCGUGAGUGAAGAAGGUUUUCGGAUCGUAAAACUCUGUUGGUAGAGAAGAACGUUGGUGAGAGUGGAAAGCUCAUCAAGUGACGGUAACUACCCAGAAAGGGACGGCUAACUACGUG
Molecule: ribosomal RNA, 496 nt
Filed under: uncultured bacterium
Lineage: Bacteria
Description: partial 16S ribosomal RNA
Rfam family: Bacterial small subunit ribosomal RNA
Source: RNAcentral